CUUGAAUUCGUUGUUCCCGGGUCUUGUACACACCGCCCGUCACACCAUGGGAGUUGGUUCUACCUUAAGGCAAGGUUUAAAACCCUUGACCACGGUAUAGUCAGCGACUGGGGUGAAGUCGUAACAAGGUAGCCGUA
This 137-nucleotide ribosomal RNA is filed under the name uncultured Pseudomonadota bacterium. RNAcentral describes it as "uncultured proteobacterium partial 16S ribosomal RNA". It matches the Rfam family "Bacterial small subunit ribosomal RNA", at positions 1361 to 1504 of the family's 1533-position model. Lineage: Bacteria; Pseudomonadati; Pseudomonadota. The record is from RNAcentral.